GGGACGGAAGUCUGGAGCCCCAGUCUCAAUUUGACAAACAAAACUGUGUUCAGUUUUCUGCAUCUGGAAAGGAACUGACCUCUUCUGUGAUUUGAAGUGAUAAGGAAUCCCAGAGAUCCAAGUGUGGGCUUGCUGUGGGACCUCUCUGGCACGGAAAAGCUGACCCAUGUGUGGAGCAGCUCACUUCCCAGACCAGGACCUUCCAGAGACGCUAAAACUACUGACCCCGACGUGAUUUGAACACGCAACCUUCUGAUCUGGAGUCAGACGCGCUACCGUUGCGCCACGAGGUCCUCGAGGGUGCCCCCGAUUUCUUUACCUGUCAACCUGAUCCGUGA
Molecule: long non-coding RNA, 338 nt
Organism: Zalophus californianus (California sea lion)
Lineage: Eukaryota; Metazoa; Chordata; Mammalia; Carnivora; Otariidae
Exons: 3
Source: RefSeq, a predicted model, not a curated record